Molecule: ribosomal RNA, 301 nt
Filed under: uncultured bacterium
Lineage: Bacteria
Description: partial 16S ribosomal RNA
Rfam family: Bacterial small subunit ribosomal RNA
Source: RNAcentral
CAGUAGCCACGGUAAUACGUAGGGUGCAAGCGUUAAUCGGAAUUACUGGGCGUAAAGCGCGCGUAGGUGGUUUGUUAAGUUGGAUGUGAAAUCCCCGGGCUCAACCUGGGAACUGCAUCCAAAACUGGCAAGCUAGAGUAUGGUAGAGGGUGGUGGAAUUUCCUGUGUAGCGGUGAAAUGCGUAGAUAUAGGAAGGAACACCAGUGGCGAAGGCGACCACCUGGACUGAUACUGACACUGAGGUGCGAAAGCGUGGGGAGCAAACAGGAUUAGAUACCCCGGUAGUCCCUGUCUCUUAUAA